GACGAACCGUCCAAACGUUAUUCGGAAUUACUGGGCUUAAAGGGUGCGUAGGCGGCGCGGUCAGUCGGAUGUGAAAUCGUACAGCUCAACUGUACAACUGCGUCCGAAACUGCCGUGCUUGAGGAAGGCAGAGGUGAGCGGAACUCAGGGUGGAGCGGUGAAAUGCGUUGAUAUCCUGGGGAACACCGGUGGCGAAGGCGGCUCACUGGGCCUUUUCUGACGCUGAGGCACGAAAGCUAGGGUAGCGAACAGG
This 253-nucleotide ribosomal RNA is filed under the name uncultured bacterium. RNAcentral's name for it is "partial 16S ribosomal RNA". It matches the Rfam family "Bacterial small subunit ribosomal RNA", at positions 524 to 776 of the family's 1533-position model. The record is from RNAcentral.